Molecule: long non-coding RNA, 1339 nt
Filed under: Sus scrofa (pig)
Lineage: Eukaryota; Metazoa; Chordata; Mammalia; Artiodactyla; Suidae
Description: lncRNA (ENSSSCG00070024851.1)
Rfam family: tRNA (bases 17-89)
Source: RNAcentral
GAGACUUGAGGGCGGAGCCGAAAUAGCUCAGUUGGGAGAGCGUUAGACUGAAGAUCUAAAGGUCCCUGGUUCGAUCCCGGGUUUCGGCAAAACCUCUCAGCUUUUCUUUUUUUUUUUUUUUUCCCCUUAUCCUUUGACGAGACUUUAAGGUAUUAAACAUGAAAAUACGCGCAACCGAAAUGAUGGACCGAAAAAAUGGGCAACCUUGUUCUCAGAUUCGUAAAGGAAGACACAAGAGGAUUAUUAAAUAAAACGAUUCUUCCAGUCGGAGAAGCCGAAGUAUGAGUAUCACUUUAAACGAAAGAGAUAGAUCCAAAGGUGAAGAAAAACCACUUUUCCUUCUUCUUUGUAAUAUUUAGAACGUAUCUUCUUUCUUGGUUCUGGCUCAGUUGGAAUCGAUUUUUUGCGCAAAUAAAAUCUUAAAAAGUUUUAUAUGCCUCCGUUUAUCUUUUAACAAUAGUGCGUAUACCCGUCCCCCCCCUCCUCCCCCCCUUCCCAUGAAGUCAGGUGGUCUGCUGGGGGCAAAAAAAUGCUAGAGAAAAACAAUUUUUUAGAGACUCCUUAGGGAAAUUAAUAUUAACAAAAAAGAGACCGGGUCUCGUCGGAUGUCCGGGCGGAACUACAGACACUGCUCGCAGGCGCGGUCCCACCGCCGCCCAGCACGGGGAGUUUGACCUGCUCCGUGUCCGGCCUGGGCCGGGUCCCCCCCUCCUUAGACAACCUGGCCCAGUGCGGACGCCCGCUCUACGCAGAGCUGCAGUCCCGAACCCCCGGGAAUCCACGAUCCACCGGCCUCAGCCUCCCGAGAAACUGGGAUUACAGGCGCGCGCCACCGUGCCCGGCGCGAGGAGCUGCGGCGCCGCGGGCCAGGAGGCUGCUGCCGCCGGCUCUACGGUGCUACGCGGCACCACCCCAGCGGAGACUUCUUCGCUCUGCCCCUCCCGCCACCAGCUACAUUGCUAGAAGAGGCUGAUGGAACAGAGACGAUGAGGCGCAGAAAGCUCUGGCAGAGUUAUGAAUAAGAUUCCCUUAUCAUGUUGUCCUCAGAAUCUUUGCCAGAGUGUCGUAAACUUAUCAAAGGUCAAGGACUGCGUUGAGCGUUGAGUUCUUCGCAAACUUCAAUGAACAUACAAAACCCAGCCGGGGAUCUCGCUAAAAUGCAGCUUCUGACUUGAUUUCUUGAAAUUCUCAAUCUGAAUCUGAACCUCUCAGAACCCAGCCAGUACACUCGGAGAAGUCCAAAUCACAUGGAAAGAUCACACCCAGGCCCUCUGGGCAACAGCCUCAGUGGAGCUCCUAGCAGAUCACCGACACCAACUGCCAACACCAGCCACGUGAG